GCAGGCAAGACACUUCCGGCAUUCAAAGGGCACGUGAUAGGCGAGUGACCAUAGAGUGGCGAGGAGACGUGCCAGACACGCCCACCCGUCUCGUCGCUCAGUCCUCCUUGUCGCUCUGAAAGAGACAGAAACUGAGGUUCCAGAAUGGCUGCCUCCCACUUAGAUGUGGACGAGGAAAUUCUAAUAGGUGCCGUCCAGCAAAGGUCUUGCAUAUGGGACAGCAGGGAUGUCGCUUAUGCAGAUCGUGGCCAAAAAAAUAAAGCUUGGGACGAAGUUGUUACUGCUGUGUUACCGGAAUGGCCCUCACUGUCACCCAGCCAACAAAUUAUAAAAAGGAAGGCGGUGCAAACACGUUGGCGAUCUCUAAAGGACUGCUACACCUGGGAGUUGCGCCAAAUAAGAGACGUUGGAAGAAGUGGAAGUUCGCCGUCUAAGCGCAAACAAUACAUUUAUUUUGAUCAACUUGAUUUUUUGAGACCAGUACUGGAAACAAGAAGUACCAGCGGGAAUCUGCAAAGAUCGAGUGGUCCAGAACCUGACCAUGGCAGCCCACCAGAGUCAGCAGCUGAGGCCCCUUCUGCUAUUUCUCUUCGAAGACGAAGGAGACGGCCCAAUGAGCCCAACAUUUCACUAUCAGGCCGGUUAAGCUCGCUUCUGGAUGAGCACAGGGGACUAAUGCAUGAUCCCAACUACCAUUUCUCAAUGUUUGCCUUCACUGUCCUUAAAAAGCUACCAAAAGAUAAAAUGGAUGCGUGUCGCAAAGAGUUAUGGGAGAUUCUAAAUAAAUAUAUUUCAAUGUCUGAACAAACACAGGGAAACCCUAAUAAUCCAACACAAACAACUACCUUACCACAAACCCAAUUUCCAACUUCUGCACCACUCCAUUCCUACCCUGCACCACCAAACACCCACCAAACAACAAACCCACACAGCCGCCAAUAUAACCCACCACCUGCUGAUUUUUAAACUAUGCAGCAAACCCCAUAUGCUCCAGACCUCCAAACUAACCCAUAUCCAAGCCAAUAUCAAACAUACCGUGCACAGUACUCGGCACCAUUACCAAACACAAUGCCACAAACAUCCGCCACUGUUCCACCACCCAGCAUUCGAUCAUUUCCGCCACAACAGCAAUUUGAGCCCAUCCAGCUAAAUCAGCAGUACAAUCAAGCCAGCCUUGGAGCCAAGCCUCAGCUCAAGAGACCCGUCCUUCCUCCGGACACUCCACAGCUGCCGGGUCACAUUCAUCUGUUGGCCAAUCGCGGACAUCAUCCACACAUAGCACCCCUGAGCCAGAUUUUGCACAGUUUUCAGAUUGAAGGUAACCCACAAUAUUACAUAACAUGCAAUUGACAUGUACUAACACUUCAUGUUUGGAAAAGUCUGGGCCCCUGUAGUAACUAAUGGCUGUAUUUUACAAUUGUCUGGAGGGACGUGUUCCCUCAUGGCAAAUGCGUAAUAAAAUCUGGCACUUACAUGUAGGGAUUUCAAACUCCACAUGGGGAGGAGUGAUCGCUACGCCACCGCUUGUCUUAAUGCUGUCCAGCGUCCAUGCAGCAAUAAGCAAUGAUUGCAGCACAUUGUGAUUUUUUUAAACAUGCUUUAAACUGUAAAAACAUAUGUUUCAAUAUCCACCAGUAUCAUUGCUCUCUGCUGCCAGAACGCUGCUGGACAUCAUGGAGAUGAUCAAUGGCAGAGUGAUUGCUCCUCACUAUUAGGGCUUGUUCACAUGGAACGUAAGGGCUCCGCACUCGUGCUGUGGACCGCAAAUUGCGGCCCUCAAUGAACAGGCACCGACCAUAGGCCAGCCGCAUGCGGAUCGCGGACCCAUUCACUUGAAUGAGGUCACUUGAAUUGAGGCACGGAACCCCAUGGAAGCACUUUGUAGUGGUUCCGUUCCGCACCGCAUCUCUGGAUUUGUGGACCCA
Molecule: RNA transcript, 1925 nt
Organism: Bufo gargarizans (Asiatic toad)
Lineage: Eukaryota; Metazoa; Chordata; Amphibia; Anura; Bufonidae
Exons: 4
Source: RefSeq, a predicted model, not a curated record